UCAAUCAAAAUAUUGGAUUUAAACGCGUUUUAGAUAAAAAUCAGUUUUAGAAUAUUUUUAAAAUCAAAAUAAAAAUAACCAUGAGUAAACAGACUCAUUCUUUAUCUCUUCCUCUUAUUAAUUUCUCGUUAGUUUCAUUAAUUUUCUUAACUUCUUAUUGGUAACCACUCACUUUUUAUUUGCAUGUUCCAUUUAUGUUUAUCAAAAGUAUUCUACUAGAUACUAUUCUCCUACUC
This 236-nucleotide long non-coding RNA is filed under the name Glycine max (soybean). RNAcentral's name for it is "long non-coding RNA (GMAX_LNC002163)". The record is from RNAcentral. Lineage: Eukaryota; Viridiplantae; Streptophyta; Magnoliopsida; Fabales; Fabaceae.